CUGGCACACUGGCAGUGACACUGGCACCAACAGGGGACUUGACGGAGCACCACGACCUGGAGGUGAUUCUGCUGCGUCAUGAAUUCUACUGCCUAAGCGACAUGGCCCUAAUUUGAUAUUCCACAGCCUCCAACGGGGAUUUGGUCGUAUGCGGAAAUCACAGACUAGUGUCAAAUGAAGCUAAGGAUGCUAGAUUGACGACCUACCUUCCUCAAAAAAGUAGGAGCGCCUAAUAUAGUAUCGUUGGGGACCGCUGUCAAGUUGAGCCACUUCCCGGUAUAAUAUGGAUGCCCCUGCGGCGAAUACGAUUCAUUCCGGUUCAUUUGUUAUCAGAUAUAAAAGUUGUGAAAUCCUGAAGUGGCCAGGUGCAAAAACACAUUCAAAAUCCUUUAACGGGUUUGUUAUAACAUCAUGCCAGAGCAGCGUAGUAUCCCCCAAAAAACAUCCCAGUGACAUACUCACAUACUCCCAAGAUGCCCGAAAAAAAAAAAAAAAAAAAAAGAGAGAGAGAGGGAUAUCAGAUACCAUAUUGAAAAGUAAGCAUCUCAUCUCCCCGUCGAACACGGGCGUCAUCUUCAUCCAUUCCCAACACCCUUCUUCCAAUCCAGUACCUCACGUGCGAAUCCCACCAUGUCCCUCCUACAACAGCAAAGGCGGGAAUUUUCUCAGCCCCACCUACACCAAAGCUGCGGCCAGAGCCUGAAUAAUCGAUCUCUAUAUCUAAGGAUGUAGCUGGCGGCGUCGCUGCGGCCCUAGCAUUAUUGAUCGCACGGAUCACGAUCCAGAGCACCACAUAUCCAAUGAAACUGACCAGCACCAAGCCCAAUGUAAUGAGGAAGGGAAUGUGAUAGGAAUCUUUCUGGAAGUUCGGAGAGAGUAUAAUAGAUGCCAAGACUCCCGCCAGGUUCCCAUAUCCAUUUAUCCCCAGAAUAAUGGUUCGUUUUCCAGGGUUCGGGAUAUUGCUUGCCAGCCAUGUUACAGUUAGUGGGCUUGGGAUGUAACUUCCGCUCAGUAGAAUGCAGAGGGAAAAAUAUAUAGCCACAGCCCUUGUUGGGGAAAGUGAUGUAGAGGAAGAGGGUGAUGAUGAAAAAACGACGGUAAGAACAAGGCCGAGAGCUAUCACCACGAGGCUUGCUAAUAUUGGAACGAUGCGUUUCCGAGACUUAUCACUCCAAUGGCCGAAUAUAUAGAGGAAUACAGACGCUAGGAGGAAUGGAGGAGCAGUAAGAAGGUUGCUGAUGGUGGGGGAUGAAAGAUGAAGGGAAGAUAGAACCAGUGGAAGGAAAACGGAGAAGCCAGUGUUAGGGACGGCAGAAGCAAUGUUGAGGAGGAGAAUAGGAAGCAUUAGCGGC
This 1352-nucleotide small RNA is filed under the name Histoplasma capsulatum. Its description in RNAcentral is "hypothetical RNA". RNAcentral also lists the same sequence under 1 other name. Lineage: Eukaryota; Fungi; Ascomycota; Eurotiomycetes; Onygenales; Ajellomycetaceae. The record is from RNAcentral.